Molecule: long non-coding RNA, 8657 nt
Filed under: Xyrichtys novacula (pearly razorfish)
Lineage: Eukaryota; Metazoa; Chordata; Actinopteri; Labriformes; Labridae
Source: RNAcentral
GUUCAAAAAAACCACAAACUCAAGUUCAAACACGACACAACCUCAAGUUCAACAAAAACCACAAACUCAAGUUCAACCAACACAUGAUUCUCACGUUUAAAAAUUUUCAGAACCUCAAGUUCAAAAAACACACAAAUUCAAGUUAAACAAAUAACAGGAAUGCAAGUUCUGAAACGACACAAACUCAAGUUCUGAAACGACACAAACUCAAGUUCAACCAACACCCAAAUCUCAAGUUUAACAAUUGCCACAACCUCAAGUUCAACAAACACACAAACUCAAAUUCAAACACACAACAAACUCAAGUUCAAACAUGACACAAACUCAAGUUCAAAAACUCAAGUUCAGCCAAUACCCAAUUCUCAAGUUUAACAAUUUCCAAAACCUCAAGUUCAAAAGCAACACAGACUCAAGUUCAAAAACACCACAAACUCAAGUUCAAACACGACACAAGCUCAAGUUCAACAAACCCCUCAAACUCAAGUUCAAACACGACACAUGCUCAAGUUCAACAAAUCCCAUAAACUCAAGUUCAACAACUGCCACCAAGUAAAGUUCACUAAAAACCAUAAACUCAAGUUCAACAAUUGACAGAAAACUUAAGUUCAAAAAACACACAAAAUCUAGUUCAAAAACACCACAAACUCAAGUUCAAACAUGACAAAGUCAAGUUCAACCAACACUCAAAUCUCAAAUUAAACAAUAUCCAAAACCGCAAGUUCAAAAACAACAGAAACUCAAGUUCAAACACGCCACAAACUCAAGUUCAACAAAUGUAAAAGUUUUAAGUUCAACCAAAACCCAAAUCUCAAGUUUAACAAUUUCAACAACCUCAAGUUCAAAAACAACAGAAACUCAAGUUCAAACACGAGACAAACUCAAGUUCAACAAACACACAAUCCUCAAGUUCAACAAUUGCCACAACCUAAAGUUCAAAAACACCCCCAACUCAAGUUCAAACAAGACACAAACUCAAGUACAACAAACGCCACAAACUCAAGUACAACAAACGCUACAAACUAAAGUUCAGUGAAAAAUACAGACUCAAGUUCAACAAUUGCCACAAACUCAAGUUCAACAAAUGACCUAAACUCACAUUUAACAAUUGCCAAAAACUCAAGUUCAACAAACUCAAGUUUAAAAAUUGCCACAAACUCAAGUUAAAAAAUGCUGAAACUGAAGUUCAACGAACACCACAAACUCAAGAUCAACAAAUUUCAAAGUUUGAAGUUCAACAACACCCAAAUAUCAAGUUUAACAAUUGCCACAACCUCAAGUUCAACAAACACACAAACUCAAGUUCAAAAACACCACAAACUCAAGUUCUUAACAACACAAACUCAAGUUCAAAAAACACACAAGUUCAAGUUCAAAAACACCCCAAACUGAAGUUCAAACAUGAAACAAAGUCAAGUUCAACCAAAUCCCAAAUCUCAAGUUCAACAAUUUCCACAACUUCAAGUUCAAAAACAACAGAAACUCAAGUUAAAACACGCCACAAACUCAAGUUCAACAAAGACACAAACUCAAGUUCAAAAACACCACAAACCCAAGUUCAACCAACACCCAAAUCUCAAGUUUAACAAUUGCCACAAAACUAAGUUAAAAAACCACACAAACUCAAGUUCAAAAACACCACAAACUCAAGUUCAAACAUGACACAAACUCAAGUUCAACGAACACCCAAAUCUCAAGUUCAACAAUUGCCACAACCUCAAGUUCAAAAACAACAGAAACUCAAGUUAAAACACGCCACAAACUCAAGUUCAACAAAGACACAAACUCAAGUUCAAAAACACCACAAACCCAAGUUCAACCAACACCCAAAUCUCAAGUUUAACAAUUGCCACAAAACUAAGUUAAAAAAACCACACAUACUCAAGUUCAAAAACACCACAAACUCAAGUUCAAACAUGACACAAACUCAAGUUCAACCAACACCCAAAUCUCAAGUUUAACAAUUGCCACAACCUCAAGUUCAAAAACAACAGAAACUCAAGUUCAAACACGAGACAAACUGAAGUUCAACAAACACACAAACUCAAGUUCAAUCAAUACCAAUUCUCAAGUUUAACAAUUUCCACAACCUCAAGUUCAACAAACUCAAGUUCAAAAAUUGCAAAAAAAUCAAGUUCAAAUAUGACACAAACUCAAGUUCAACCAACACCCAAAUCUCAAGUUUAACAUUUGCCAAAACCUCAAGUUCAAAAACAACACAAACUCAAGUUCAAACACGCCACAAACUCAAGUUCAACAAACACACAAACUCAAGUUCAAAAACACCACAAAUUCAAGUUCAAACAUGUCACAAACUCAAGUUCAACAAACACAGAAACUCAAGUCAACCAAUACCCAAAUAUGAAGCUUAGCGUUAAGGGGUGUUCAGACCAAACGCGACUUCGGUGACGUCGGCGAUGGCUCCCAAUGCAAGUCUAUGGACAGCCGCGACCUGACGCGACUUGGCGACCGCUGGCUACCUGCGUCGCGUUGCCGAGGUUGCGUUGCCGAGGUCGCAGGACGCCAAGUCUCGUCGCUCCCAAAGUUCAAAUAUUUGAACUGGGCUACGGGAUGUAUAUAUGAGGGAAUAAAGGAGGGAGAUGGAAGGUAGGAGAAGCGGGUCAGCAGCGACCAGCCGUGUCCUGCGACCGCAGCUUUGGACCUAGUGUGAACACACCAGAGCACCACGCGACGCGACGCGACCUGGUCGCGGCUGCAAUUACACCUAAUCCGCGGAGCCAAAUCCUUGCAGGUACUGACAUUAGUCUUGCUGUGCUCAGACUACAAUGAUAGACGCAUUGUGGAUUGCGGAGAUGAGCCUGUGAUGCUUAAAUAUCGUGAUGCCCGGCUGUUUAAAUCUCCGACCUUGGCUGAAUUCAUAGCUUUCGGCGUAUUUGUAGAUGUCAUAUGUAAAGUGUUUUCAGCACGCAGAACUGAACUGGACACAUAUCUCGCCAUUAUUUCUGAUUCAGCCAUGACAUAGGGAGGAUCAUUAUUCUAGGAACAUUACAAAUCAUUUUCAGCAAAGCUGCUAAGUACAUUCAAAGAUUCAGCCAAAGACUUGAUCAGUCCGUAGUCGACCUGGCUCUAAUCAGUUAACAAUUCACCGAGCAUCAAGCUUUUUCCUGCUUAAUCUGCGGGUCUUUCUCUCACCUGGAGGUGAAAGUAAGCCAUUACGCAGCAGUACGCCAUUUCGGGAAGACAUAAUCAGCUGUUUAAAGUUUUCACCCCUGUCAUGUAUCUAGGCUUAGUCUGUUGCUGCACAUCAGUCUGCACUCUGCGUUAUAACCGAAGUAAUCCAAUAGGACCAUGCCGCUUGAGAGUGAGUGGUAUUUGCUUACAAAUAAACUCCAAGUGGGAGCACCAGUGCGCACUUUUGAUUGGACGCUGGUUGCCUAGGUGCAGGGGCCCACCUUCCGCCUUUUGCGGAAGGAGGGAACUUUUAAAGAGUCAGCUGCUUCAAUCUUAAUGCAGAAAUAAGACAAAAUGCAGAGGUAAUAAUAAUAAUAAUAAUAAUAAUAAUAAUAAUAAUAAUAAUAAUAAUAAUAAUUUUAUGUUUAAGAGAGAGAUACAGCAGAUGAUGAUACUGUGGCAUCGGAGUCAGCAACUCGCUUAACUUGGGUGUGCUCCUCUUGUACAAAGUCUACGGGUACAGUACCUGGAGGAACCUUAUCCUACCUUGUCCACCCCUGCCCACACCUCUAAUCGGUGCCCUAAAACUGUGGCUACAGGCCAACCACCCAAGCCUCUCUAAGCCUACUACUCGGAGAAGCCAAGUUACUCCAGGGACGGGCAUCUGAAAUCAGCAUGCCCAUGACGCACCCACCUGGUAAAACGGGAAAGAACAAAGCUGUCUACUCUGUCAAAUGUCCUUGAGCCAGGGAAGGCACUGGCAAAGCAUCCCAACGGCUGUUCGUGAAGCCAUUCAUUCAGACUGUGUUAGUCUGAGUGCAGCCUUGCAAUCCUUAGUGCUCUCUGUUGACAGCUACUUGAGAGCUGGUUAAGCAAAAUCAGCAUUAAAGUUUAUACGAUUCUGCAUGGUCUCACUUUACCUCUUUUGUACCACCUUCUCUGUAGCCCCAACGCCCUAAAUAUAUCCAUUGUAUGUGCUUUAAUAGUCCACAGUUUUGAAUCUCGCACUUUUUUUCUUCUUCUAAUAUUUCCAAAACUAACUCUGUCUUUGUUCUUUAUCCUCCAUGUCCCGCUGCCUGAGAGGCCGGCCACUGGCCAGCCACUAAGAGUCUCUCUUUGCCACUGAAGAAGGGAAACCUAUAUCCAGAUUGCAGCUUUCUGCUCACCUCUGCCUGCUCUGCCAAUCCUGUUGGCUCCUACCUGAGUACAACUCUACGCAUUCACCACGCAUAGGCACAGCUACAACUGCAUCUUCCAUCGUCCCCGUCUCGACGCUCAAGGCUACGGGUCAAUGGUCCCGAUCAGCCUUUGAAUGAUACCUCAGGCCCAAGGCUAAUAUAUUAUUAUUAUUAUUAGAAUAUUCCUAUGCUCGAUUAGCUACAAAAAAAAAAAUGCUGCUGCUCCUUAAUUCUUUCCCAUAUCUAUUGCAUUACGCAUAUUCCCAACUAUAAAUUUGUGUAUGGAUUAAAUUAAUCCUGAUCCAUGAUCAUGUUGUGAGGGUAACCAAUACUAUGCAAGCUUUGUAGGUGGGUAGGUUGCUUCAUAGUUUCUCGCUGCUGGCUGCCCUCCCUCCCCCGUAGGUGCCUUCAUGUAGCUCAUGAAAGCUGGGGAGGGUUGCCAGUAUGGCUGCUGCUUUUUCUGCCUUGGCUUUUCAUAUAUGCACAUGAAAGGGAGGGGAGGGCAUUCCCUCUCAUUGCCUUGGGAUUCUAUGCAAGCACAUGAGAGAGCAGGGAACUCUCAGAACACAGCCAUACCGACAAUGUUAAAAAUUUUUUUUGCUAGUAAUAAAUAAUUGAUUCUAACUAAAGUAGUCCUGACUGAAAUUAAGCAUGGCUGUAGUUCAGGCAGGACACAAGGUACAGUCAAGCUAAAGGUUAAAGCCAGCUGAUCUUAAGCUAGCCCUCAGUCAGAUGACAGCUUAGCUGAUCGCCCUCCACACAUCCUUCAGAUCGCUACACGGCUCAUUCCUUUCACAUAGGUGCAGCUACAACCGCAGCUAUGACGGCUCCUGUGUCGACCCUCAAAGCCAUGGGCCAAUAGUCGUCAGCUGCGUACAAAUGCUAUCUGCGCCCCGAGGCUCGGGACAUUCUCGAAGCCCAAAAACUAUGAGUACCCAUAACUUUGGCACAUAGAUGCUAAUUAAAUGAAAUAUAUAAACAACCUGCAGAUAAAUAUCCAUGCUUGGGCAACGGGUCUCUCUAACCCGUCUUUCUUUCAGCAGCGCUCACCUCCCCUGCUAGCUCCUAGACUGCACGGCAUGGUUGUUUUGGGGGGUUCUGUUCAUUGCUGCUCUACCCCUGCCUCCUCCGCCUUCAUGAUGGCACGUGGAGGGCGGGAAGGUGCUCUUCCUGCCGCUGGCCUUUCACCCCUGCCAACGUGGAGAACGGGGGCCCUGAACAGAACCUCGCGUGCGCUCCCUGCUAUCGCCUUUCAUGAUGGCUCGUGAAAGGCAGGAAGGGGCUCUUCCUGCCUCGGGCUUCCACACAAGCGCGUGGAAGGGCAGGGACCCGGAACAGAAUCAUGCCGCCAAAUCUAACUUGCACAAUAAAGCUAAAAAUUUGGACAAAGUGUACCUGACUGAAAUGAAGCAUAGCGUUAGUUCUGUCAGGACACAACGUCAAGCGCUGAUCCACAGCCAAUGGCUAGUAGCCACCUCAACCAGAUGAUAAUCAGCUGAUUCACACCUAGAUCCUAUUGGUUCUUUGCCUAUAGAGUGCCUUAUUUAAAACUGCACUAACCCAGCCUCUUCCUCUGCUCUGACAGCAAACCAGCAACACACUGCCACACCAGCUCCACCCUCGUGCCAGCUAAUUGCUCCACUGUCCUUGAAGCGCUCCUGUUCCAGGGGGGUUUGUUCAUUGCUGCUCUACCCCCGCCACCUCCGCCUUCAUGAUGGCUCGAGGAGGGCGAGUUUAACAAUUUCCACAACCUCAAGUUCAAAAAGAACACAAACUCAAGUUCAAACACGCCACGAACUCAAGUUCAACAAACAAACAAACUCAAACUCAAGUUCAAAAACACCACAAACUCAAGUUCAACCAACACCCAAAUCUAAAGUUUAACAAUUGCCGAAGCCUCAAGUAAGAAAAACAACAAAAAUUCAGGUUAAAACAUGCCACAAACUCAAGCUCAACACCGCCACAAACUCAAGUUAAAAAACACCACAAACCCAAGUUCAAACACGCCACGAACUCAAGUUCAACCAAAUCCCAAAUCUCAAGUUUGACAAUUGCCACAACCUCAAGUUCAAAAACAACAGAAACUCAAGUCAAAACACGCCACAAACUCAAGUUAAACAAACACACAAACUCAAGUUCAAAAACACCACAAACUCAAGUUCAACCAACACCCAAAUCUCAAGUUUAACAAUUGCCACAUACUUAAAUUCAAAAAACACACAAAAAUUCAAACUAAAGUUCAGGGAAAAAUACAGACUCAAGUUCAACAAUUGCCACAAACUCAAGUUCAACAAACACCACAAUCUUAAGUUCAAAAAAUGCCAAAAUUUCAAAUUCAACAAAUGACCUAAACUCACAUUUAACAAUUGCCAAAAACUCAAGUUCAACAAACUCAAGUUCAAAAAUUGCAACAACCUUAAGUUCAAAAAACACACAAAUUCAAGUUCAAAAACACCACAAACUCAAGUUAAAAAAAACACAAAAAUUCAAGUUCAAAAACACCACAAACUCAAGUUAAAUGAACACCACAAAGUCAAGUUCAACAAAUGUCAAAGUUUUAAGUUCAACCAACACCCAAAUCUAAAGAUUAACAAUUGCCAAAACCUCAAGUUAAAAAACAACACAAACUCAAGUUCAAACACGCGACAAACUCAAGUUUAACAAUUGCCACCAAAUAAAGUUCACUAAAAACCAAAGACUCAAGUUCAAAACUCAAGUUCAAAAAUUGCAACAAACUCAAGUUCAAACACAACACUCAAGUUCAAACACGACACAAACUCAAGUUCAAACACGACACAAACUCAAGUUCAAACACGACACAAACUCAAGUUCAACAAACACACGAACUCAAGUUCAACAAUUGCCACCAACUAAUGUUCAGAGAAAAAUACAGACUCAAUGUUAACAAUUGCCACAAACUCAAGUUCAACAAACACCACAAGCUUAAGUUCAAAAAAUGCCAAAAUUUAAAAUUCAACAAAUAACCUAUAUUAACAUUAAAGAAUUGCCAAAAACUUUAGUUCAACAAACUCAGGUUCAAAAAACACACAAAUUCAAGUUCAAAAACACCACAAACUCAAGUUCAAAAAUGCCGAAACUUAAUUUCAACCAACACCCAAAUCUCAAGUUUAACAAAUUGCCACAACCUCAUGUUCAAAAACAACAGAAACUCAAAUUCAAAAACACCAAAAACUCAAGUUAAAAAAAACCCACACAAAUUCAAGAUCACAAAACAGCAAAAUCUCAAGUUCAAACACGACACAAACUCAGGUUCAACAAACACACAAACUCAAGUUUAACCAAUACCCAAUUCUCACGUUUAACAAUUUCCACAACCUCAAGUUCAAACACGACACAAACUCAAGUUCAAACACGACACAAACUCAAGUUCAAACACGACACAAACUCAAGUUCAAACACGACACAAACUCAAGUUCAAACAACACCCAAAUAUCAAGUUUAACAUCUGCCAAAACCUCAAGUUCAAAAACACCACAAACUGAAGUUCCAAACGACAAAAACUUAAGUUCAACAAACGCCAAAAACUCAGGUUCAAAAACACCACAAACUCAAGUUCUAAAUGACAAAAACUCAAGUUCAACAAACACACGAACUCAAGUUCAACCAAUGCCCACUUCGCAAGUUUAACAAUUUCCACAACCUCAAGUUUAAAAAAAAACAAAAACUCAAGUUCAGACACACCACAAACUCAAGUUAGAAAAACACACAGACUCAAGUUAAAAAAUAACCAGAAAAUCUAGUUCAAACACUUCACAAACUCAAGUUCAAAAACACCACAAACUCAAGUUCAACCAACACCUAAGUCACAAGUUUAACAAUUGCCACAAACUUCAGUUCAAAAAACACAAAAGCUCAAGAUCAAAAACACCACAAACUCAAGUUCAAACACGAUUCACAAACUCAAGUUCAACCAAAUCCCAAAUCUCAAGUUUAACAAUUUCCACAACCUCAAGUUCAAAACCAACAGAAACUCAAGUUCAAACACGCCACAAACUCAAGUACAGAAAAACACCACAAACUCAAGUUCAACAAUUGCCACCAAGUAAAGUUCAGAGAAAAAUACAGACUCAAGGUUAACAAUUGCCACAUACUCAAGUUCAUCAAACACCACAAGCUUAAGUUCAAAAAAUGACAAAAUUUCAAAUUCAACAAAUGACCUAUAUUCACAUUAAACAAUUGCCAAAAACUCAAGUUCAACGAACUCAAGUUAAAAAAGUGCCACAAAAUGAAGUUCAAAAACACCACAAACUCAAAUUCAAAAAACACACAAACUCAAGUUCAAAAACACCACAAACUCAAUUUCAAACACGAUACAAACUCAAGUUCAAC